Molecule: ribosomal RNA, 253 nt
Filed under: uncultured bacterium
Lineage: Bacteria
Description: partial 16S ribosomal RNA
Rfam family: Bacterial small subunit ribosomal RNA
Source: RNAcentral
UACGUAGGGGGCAAGCGUUGUCCGGAAUCAUUGGGCGUAAUGAGCGUGUAGGCGGCUUGGUAAGUCCGCUGUGAAAGUCCAGGGCUCAACCCUGGAAUGCCGGUGGAAACUGUCAAGCUUGAGUCCGGAAGAGGCGAGUGGAAUUCCUGGUGUAGCGGUGAAAUGCGCAGAUAUCAGGAGGAACACCAAUGGCGAAGGCAGCUCGCUGGGACGGUACUGACGCUGAGACGCGAAAGCGUGGGGAGCAAACAGG